AUUGAACGCUGGCGGCAUGCCUUACACAUGCAAGUCGAACGGCAGCACGGGGCAACCUGGUGGCGAGUGGCGAACGGGUGAGUAAUGCAUCGGAACGUGCCAUUGAGUGGGGGAUAACGUAGCGAAAGUUGCGCUAAUACCGCAUAUUCUGUGAGCAAGAAAGCAGGGGACCGCAAGGCCUUGCGCUCUUUGAGCGGCCGAUGUCAGAUUAGCUAGUUGGUGAGGUAACGGCUUACCAAGGCGACGAUCUGUAGCGGGUCUGAGAGGAUGAUCCGCCACACUGGAACUGAGACACGGUCCAGACUCCUACGGGAGGCAGCAGUGGGGAAUAUUGCGCAAUGGGCGAAAGCCUGACGCAGCCACGCCGCGUGAGUGAUGAAGGCCUUCGGGUCGUAAAACUCUGUCGGGAGGGACGAAGGGGGCAACCCUGACGGUACCUCGCAAGAAAGCACCGGCUAACUCUGUGCCAGCAGCCGCGGUAAU
Molecule: ribosomal RNA, 483 nt
Filed under: uncultured bacterium
Lineage: Bacteria
Description: bacterial SSU rRNA
Rfam family: Bacterial small subunit ribosomal RNA
Source: RNAcentral